This 745-nucleotide ribosomal RNA is filed under the name Sphaerisporangium melleum. Its description in RNAcentral is "bacterial SSU rRNA". It matches the Rfam family "Bacterial small subunit ribosomal RNA", at positions 39 to 805 of the family's 1533-position model. The record is from RNAcentral. Lineage: Bacteria; Bacillati; Actinomycetota; Actinomycetes; Streptosporangiales; Streptosporangiaceae.
GCGGCGUGCUUAACACAUGCAAGUCGAGCGGAAAGGCCCUUCGGGGUACUCGAGCGGCGAACGGGUGAGUAACACGUGAGUAACCUGCCCCUGACUCUGGGAUAAGCCUGGGAAACCGGGUCUAAUACCGGAUAUGACUUCGCGUGGCAUCGCGCGGGGUGGAAAGUUUUUUCGGUUGGGGAUGGGCUCGCGGCCUAUCAGCUUGUUGGUGGGGUAGUGGCCUACCAAGGCGACGACGGGUAGCCGGCCUGAGAGGGCGACCGGCCACACUGGGACUGAGACACGGCCCAGACUCCUACGGGAGGCAGCAGUGGGGAAUAUUGCGCAAUGGGCGGAAGCCUGACGCAGCGACGCCGCGUGGGGGAUGACGGCCUUCGGGUUGUAAACCUCUUUCAGCAGGGACGAAGUUGACGUGUACCUGCAGAAGAAGCGCCGGCUAACUACGUGCCAGCAGCCGCGGUAAUACGUAGGGCGCAAGCGUUGUCCGGAAUUAUUGGGCGUAAAGAGCUCGUAGGUGGCUUGUCGCGUCUGCCGUGAAAGCCCAUGGCUUAACUGUGGGUCUGCGGUGGAUACGGGCUGGCUAGAGGUAGGUAGGGGCAAGCGGAAUUCCUGGUGUAGCGGUGAAAUGCGCAGAUAUCAGGAGGAACACCGGUGGCGAAGGCGGCUUGCUGGGCCUUACCUGACGCUGAGGAGCGAAAGCGUGGGGAGCGAACAGGAUUAGAUACCCUGGUAGUCCACGCUGUAA